RNAcentral lists this transfer RNA (86 nucleotides) under Gnomoniopsis sp. IMI 355080. Its description in RNAcentral is "tRNA-Arg". It matches the Rfam family "tRNA". Rfam says of the family: Transfer RNA (tRNA) molecules are approximately 80 nucleotides in length. Their secondary structure includes four short double-helical elements and three loops (D, anti-codon, and T loops). Further hydrogen bonds mediate the characteristic L-shaped molecular structure. tRNAs have two regions of fundamental functional importance: the anti-codon, which is responsible for specific mRNA codon recognition, and the 3' end, to which the tRNAs corresponding amino acid is attached (by aminoacyl-tRNA synthetases). tRNAs cope with the degeneracy of the genetic code in two manners: having more than one tRNA (with a specific anti-codon) for a particular amino acid; and 'wobble' base-pairing, i.e. permitting non-standard base-pairing at the 3rd anti-codon position. Lineage: Eukaryota; Fungi; Ascomycota; Sordariomycetes; Diaporthales; Gnomoniaceae. The record is from RNAcentral.
GGUUUCGUGGCUCAAUGGCAGAGCGUCUGACUACGAUUAUCUACGUUGUGAUCAGGAGGUUCCAGGUUCGACCCCUGGCGAGAUCG